UGAGUUUCCUUUUUAGCAUUUCUUCAGUAAGGUUAUCUUUUUGAGUUUGUUAUAUUUACUAGUCGAUUGAUUUAAGGUGUGUGGUUAUUAGCAGCCUUUUUACUGAUGAAAAGUUGAAAUUUGAGUGCUAUCGUCCAAUGAAAACUUUAGCUCUGGACCCAGAUUAUUCACGGAAAUCAUCAAGAAGAUAUGUUGCUGGUGGUUUAACUGGUCAACUUUUUUUGAAUUCGAAAACCUGGCAAUGGUUAUUCUAAACAGGUAUUACAUGAUGGAGAAGGUCCAACACAUGCGGUCAAAUGGACGUAUGGCAUGGCGAAUGAUGCACGUAUGACAUUCAUUGAGAGGCUUCAGGGAAGUCCACGUCCUGAACUUCUGCUUCCUCAUUUAGUUCGGCAGAUGCUAACAAGGAUGUACGCACAUAGGAUGACAUAAUGUUGGUCAUUGGUUGGGUAACAUGUGUAAAGAUUGUUGCAAUCAGAACUAAUGCAUCUGGAGCAAAUGGAGUGCAAAAGACUGUUCAAGCAUCAAGCACGAAGUAUGUGGAUAUUGUAGCAAAUGGAGUGCAAUCCAAAAUUGCUUGUAACGUGCCAUGUUUCAUUGUUCAACUGAUUAUACUAUGUAUUGUUGUGGUUUGG
Asparagus officinalis (garden asparagus) is the source of this 635-nucleotide long non-coding RNA. RefSeq lists it as uncharacterized. The record is from RefSeq and is a predicted model, not a curated record. The transcript is spliced from 3 exons. NCBI's taxonomy places the organism in Eukaryota, Viridiplantae, Streptophyta, Magnoliopsida, Asparagales, Asparagaceae.